GGAGCAGCUCAGUGGUAAAGUGCAUGCUUUGUGUGUGCGGCGCUCUGGGUUCAAAUCCCAGCUGCUCCC
This is a non-coding RNA of Dallia pectoralis (Alaska blackfish), 69 nucleotides long. The record is from the annotation of a GenBank genome assembly. Lineage: Eukaryota; Metazoa; Chordata; Actinopteri; Esociformes; Umbridae.